GAGUUGUAAUUUGGAGACGGGACACUAGAGAGGAGGAAGGCGAUUAAGUGCCUUGGAACAGGCUGCCGUAGAGGGUGAGAGCCCCGUGAAUCGCUGGAGACCGAUCAAUUAGUGCCCGCCGAAGAGUCGAGUUGUUUGGGAAUGCAGCUCUAAGYGGGUGGUAUAUUCCAUCUAAGGCUAAAUAUUAGCGAGAGACCGAUAGCAAACAAGUACAGUGAUGGAAAGAUGAAAAGAACUUUGGAAAGAGAGUGAAAUAGUACGUGAAAUUGUUGAAAGGGAAGGGUAUUUGAUCCGACAUGGUGUUUAGCAGCGGCCCGUUCCUCGUGGAUGGGUGCACCUGGUUUACACUGGGCCAGCAUCGGUUCUGGGAGCCAUAUACGGGGUUCGUGAAUGUGGCCCUUCGAUUCUGUCGGAGGGUGUUAU
RNAcentral lists this ribosomal RNA (423 nucleotides) under uncultured Dekkera. RNAcentral's name for it is "eukaryotic LSU rRNA". It matches the Rfam family "Eukaryotic large subunit ribosomal RNA", at positions 140 to 571 of the family's 3401-position model. Lineage: Eukaryota; Fungi; Ascomycota; Saccharomycetes; Saccharomycetales; Saccharomycetaceae. The record is from RNAcentral.